UCAACUUUAAAUUUCAUCAAAACUCUCUUCCAUUCUCAUUUUUUAGAAAUUUCCCUCUCAAUUCUGUCAUUUUUUCUCUCAUUGAAUCUUUACUUUUUUUUUUUGUAUCAAUAACAAUUUCUACUUUCAAUUACAAGUAUGCUUUGCAAAUUAAUUCUUGAAUUUGUUCUUGAUUGAUCAAUUUGUAUGCAAGGUACUUUUUCUUUAGAAAAUUGAAGUGCAAGAUUGAUUUAAUUACCUUUGUCUACAAGACGUUCAUAUUGCAUGUUCUUGUUCGUAAUCAACAUAUUAAAUCUUUGAAGAUGAUUGUCUUAAUGCUUAGAUAAAUCACCCUUGUUUUUGGCAAAUUAUGAAUUUAAUUCCAUCAAUUUUACAUGCACAAUUACAUUCAAUUAAAUCAUUGUUGCAAUUUGUUUCUAAAAGUAUGCAAGAUACUUUGGUUUCUUUAAAAGAACAAAUAUUGGGCAUGAAUUGUCGUUGCAAAAAUUAACAAAAAAUGAUUGUGUGUGAUGAUCUCUUUUCUUGAAUCUAGUGUAGGCAAGCUUACUUGAUUUAAUUUAUGGUUAAGAUUUUGAUUCUCACAUAUCUUUGAUCAAUGACAUGUGUAGAUAGCGGAAUUCUAAUAUACAUGUGUUUUAUCCUCACGCUGUGCCACACUACCCUUAGGCUCAUCAUAUCUAUUUGUUAAGGCCUAUUUGGUGCUUCGGGAAGCAGCACCAUUUAGAUGGCUGUCUAGCGGGUCGAUCGAGUUUUCGUCGAGUUUGUGGUGAGUGUUCGUGUGAACCUUUAUUUGGUUUGUGAAAUUAUUGGUUAAGAAUGUAUUACCCAUGAAAUUGUGAACUUUAUGAUGUGAAUUGAAGUUGGAUUAUUGAGUGUUCUUGGGUUACUUGGGUAACCCAUUAAUUAUAAUUUUGUGGAAACUAUGAAGGUAGGUAUUAUAGGUGUUGUUUUCGAUUUAUGAUUUAAGAUUUGAAAUCAAUUGUUUAGGUGCUAGAUGUGGUUUUGUUUAUUGAAUUUUAUGGUUGCUGAUUUUGUGUUGGUGCCAGUUAAGUAAGUGACCUUAUUACUGGAACAGUUCUUGAGUUUGACUACUUAGAAUAAAAUGGCUAUGUGGCAUGAGUUGUUACUGAGUUAUUUGUGAUGUGACAUUAUGUGAUUGUAUUGCAAUACGAGAUUUGAUUAUGGUAUAUGAUUGAAUUUAGCUUGUGACUAGUUAAAGUUUAUAAGUGGAUUUAUUACGUGACUAAGUUAGAGUUUAUAAGUUGGUUAGUAGUUUUGAUAACUGAUUAAUUAUGUGUCUGCUUUUCAUGAUAUGAUUGAUAUGUGUGAUAUUAUGGCUUACUAGUAAUUGCUUCCUUACUUGUAACGAUGUGCCCUAUAACAAUUUGUGUUUCCUUCGGGAUUCAUCAGUUCGUGUUUUAUUCGGGAUUCACCAGAUCUUUGUUUCCUUCAAAACUCACUAGUUUUGUGUUUCCUCUCAACGCAUGGUUGACUUGACUUUUAUGUGCACAUAAUAGUUAGUUCAUGAUAGGAAUAAAGCUAAUGAUUUACUCACAUACAAACAUUUCAUACAAGCAUCAUAUCAUGAAAUACUUUAAUUUGGAAACAUUUCAACUUAGAAGUGUUCUUUUUAAAUUAUCAUGCUUUUCUUAUAAAUCAUAGACACAUAUUGUACUAUACAUAAUGUAUCAUGACAUUGAAAGAAAAGCUUUAAAAAUCUCUAUUCUUUCUCUUUGGAAGGGUCACUCACAAAAACUAAAUGUUUCCUUCUAACCCCUUGUUCUUUUCCUUGUCUGGUGCUCUUUUACUAGCAGAGUUUCAACACUUAAAACUUCUUAUUUCUUCCUAUGAACUCUUAAGGCUUAUUUAUACUAAUUCUAAAUUGGAUUAGUCAUUCUUAAACUCAUCUUAGCUUGCUAGCUCUUACUUAGUGCUUUAUACGUGUAGGUUUAAUAUCUUCUUUAAACAUGCUUAACUUUAACCCAACACGUAAAAUGCUGAUUAGUCUGAUUUAAUAAAUCAUCAUUUUCUGACCUGGCUCAAAAUGCUUACUAAACGACCCUUCUCGCAUUAUCUUAACUUAGCACGUCACCUAACUUUACUUCGCGUACUAACCUUCCUCGAGUCGUCUUGUCAGAAUGCAUGCUCAUUUCUCAAAAUGCGUCAUUCUUAUACUUGGUCACUUUAACUCUUUUCACCUUAGAGCGCAUAAUACUUAUAUUUAGAUCCUUCUUCAUAACCUCUCUAUUUCAGAGCGCGACCUUCAUAAGCCUCCAUCAUAAACUAAUGUGUAGAUUGCAAACCAUCCUUUUAAUGGUGUCAUAGAAUGAACACCUUGAAUCAAGAACCAAAUCUUGAACUUCUUUAUUACCUUCUGCUUUAAUUGAUUUUCAGAGAUGGUUAAAGUAUUUAAAUAUACAAAAGAUGCUUGAUCUACAAUGAAGCUUCUACCCUUGGUUCUUAUUGUUGUUUUUCUUUUUACUUCUUUUGAUUUUGUUUUUCUUUAGAAAAAAGCAAUCUUGUCUAAGAUGUCCACUUUUGUGGUAAAAGGUGCAUUCAAGCUUCGACUCGUUUUUCUAUUUCUUAGUUUCUUUUAUAGUUGUUUUUGCUCUUACCCUUUGAGAACAAUCCUUCAGUAUUGACUUUAUCUCUUCUUUGUGUAUUAAACUCUAGUUCUCUGGUUUUUAUCCCUGGAAUAAUAUCAUCGAUGGUGAUUUCUUGCCUUCCAAUUUCCAUAUUUGAGAGCCAUUUUGACUUCUUUAAAUGCAUUUGGAAGUGGUUUAGCAAAAUGAAUGAUUCAUUUUCAUCACCAAUCUUGUUUUCCAAGUCCUUGAAAUCGGUCGAUAACUUCUUGAACUCUCCAAGAUUUUCUAUCAAUGACUUGUUGCUAUCCAUUUUAAAGGUAAAGAACCUUUCCCUCAUGUAUACACAGUUUGGUAAGUCUUUGAACUGAUAAAGUUCAUCUAACUUCUUCCACAUUCCAUAAGUUGUUUCUUUAUCAAUGACCUUCCUUAGAACAUUGCCACGUAGGUUGAGAAUUAUAAAAACAUAAGUUGCAUUUUUCAUAGUUUCUUUCUUCUUGUGAGUCAUUUGUAACAAGUAGCUUUUUAGGAUCCAGAGAGCUUUGAAUGUCUUUUGUUGGUCAAUGAUAGCUUUGAUCUUUGCUUUCCAAAACGUAAAAUCUUCCUUACGAUCAAACUUCUCAAUAUUGUAUCUUGCUACUGCCAUCUUGAGUUUCUUGAUUGGUCAAUAAUGUGAAUCUUUAAGCUUUCUUAAGAAUUUCUGUAGGCUCUAAUACCAAUUUGUUGCUUUCCACGUGUAUGGUCAAGAGGCGACCACCAGGUAAAGAAUUAUCUUUACAUUUUAGAUUUCAUUUCAAAGAGAAAUUAGCAAAAUCAUUUUCUCUUUCAAGUUAUUUUCUCUCUUUGUUUGGCUUCUUUCUCUUUCAAUAAAAAUACUCACAUAAUUCUUUUCAAGGUUUCUCUCUUUUCUUUGGUUAUGGAAGUUUGAUGCUUAUGCACGUGUACGAAAAAUAUGAAGAACAUGAUGUUAUUAAGAGAUGAAGAAGAAUCAACAUGGGAAUUUCAAAGUGGUUUGGUAGAGAGCAACCUAUAUCCACUUGCUUGGGAGCUGUUUUAUAGAGUGUAUUUUUUAUCAGCAAAUGAAUUACAAAUGGGAAAAGGACAACAAAUAAGUUUGGUGUCUCGAAAAUGGCUUGGCGGCUCAAAACAACUUGAAUAGAGGGGAAAUUGGCUCGGCUAGAGGCAAAAAACAGCUAGACACACGCGACUGAAGGGGAGAGGGCGACUCGCGACUGAUGUUGCAUGUGUGGCUCGAGGUGGUGCUUGCGUGGGAUUUGGCUGGCAUGGGCGAUCAACUAGUGUAAGGGAUACGACUCGGGUGGCUAACGACAUGCGGCAACGGAGAAAAGACUUGACCGGUGGCAUGCAACGGUGGAAGGGUUGAGCAUCGUGCGAUGAAGUCAGGUGUUUGAACAUGACAAAACUUGCGAUGGCCCUACGAUGGCUAAUGACGGAGAAGGAGAUCUUACGCAUGACGGAAACAAACGAAGAUGGGAGACACGUGGCGGAUGGAGGAGGGAGCAAGACAGUGACGAUGGAGGCUACUAAUGUUUGUGAAGGUGCACUAGAGUUUCUUAAGAAUGAAGAUGAAUAGUGUCUCACGCUUC
Cucumis melo (muskmelon) is the source of this 4189-nucleotide long non-coding RNA. RefSeq lists it as uncharacterized. NCBI's taxonomy places the organism in Eukaryota, Viridiplantae, Streptophyta, Magnoliopsida, Cucurbitales, Cucurbitaceae. The transcript is spliced from 3 exons. The record is from RefSeq and is a predicted model, not a curated record.